UCUUAUGUCUCAGUACCAACACCAAGCCA
This 29-nucleotide non-coding RNA is filed under the name Mus musculus (house mouse). The record is from RNAcentral. Lineage: Eukaryota; Metazoa; Chordata; Mammalia; Rodentia; Muridae.